RNAcentral lists this ribosomal RNA (230 nucleotides) under uncultured bacterium. Its description in RNAcentral is "partial 16S ribosomal RNA". It matches the Rfam family "Bacterial small subunit ribosomal RNA", at positions 335 to 582 of the family's 1533-position model. The record is from RNAcentral.
CUGCCUACGGGACGCAGCAGUGGGGGAUAUUGGACAAUGGGGGAAACCCUGAUCCAGCGACGCCGCGUGAGUGAAGAAGUAUUUCGGUAUGUAAAGCUCUAUCAGCAGGGAAGAAAAUGACGGUACCUGACUAAGAAGCCCCGGCUAACUACGUGCCAGCAGCCGCGGUAAUACGUAGGGGGCAAGCGUUAUCCGGAUUUACUGGGUGUAAAGGGAGCGUAGACGGCAGC